CCUACGGGGGGCUGCAGUGGGGAAUAUUGGACAAUGGGGGCAACCCUGAUCCAGCCAUGCCGCGUGUGUGAAGAAGGCCCUCGGGUUGUAAAGCACUUUCAGUGAGGAAGAACGCCUGGUGGUUAAUACCCAUCAGGAAAGACAUCACUCACAGAAGAAGCACCGGCUAACUCCGUGCCAGCAGCCGCGGUAAUACGGAGGGUGCGAGCGUUAAUCGGAAUUACUGGGCGUAAAGCGCGCGUAGGUGGCUUGAUAAGCCGGUUGUGAAAGCCCCGGGCUCAACCUGGGAACGGCAUCCGGAACUGUCAAGCUAGAGUGCAGGAGAGGAAGGUAGAAUUCCCGGUGUAGCGGUGAAAUGCGUAGAGAUCGGGAGGAAUACCAGUGGCGAAGGCGUCCUUCUGGACUGACACUGACACUGAGGUGCGAAAGCGUGGGUAGCAAACAGGAUUAGAUACCCCGGUAGUC
RNAcentral lists this ribosomal RNA (465 nucleotides) under Vreelandella stevensii. Its description in RNAcentral is "partial 16S ribosomal RNA". It matches the Rfam family "Bacterial small subunit ribosomal RNA", at positions 338 to 795 of the family's 1533-position model. Lineage: Bacteria; Pseudomonadati; Pseudomonadota; Gammaproteobacteria; Oceanospirillales; Halomonadaceae. The record is from RNAcentral.